RNAcentral lists this ribosomal RNA (276 nucleotides) under uncultured bacterium. Its description in RNAcentral is "partial 16S ribosomal RNA". It matches the Rfam family "Bacterial small subunit ribosomal RNA", at positions 28 to 334 of the family's 1533-position model. The record is from RNAcentral.
GAUGAACGUUGGCGGUGCGUCUAAUACAUGCAAGUCGAGCGAGGCUUCGAGCCGAGCGGCGGACGGCUGAGUAACACGUUGGUAGCUACCCCGAACUCAGGGAUAACACAAAGAAAUUUGUGCUAAUACCGGAUGGUCCCGAAAGGGUAAAGAUUUUCGGUUCGGGAGGUGCCUGCGGCCUAUCAGCUAGUUGGUGAGGUAAUAGCUCACCAAGGCUAUGACGGGUAACUGGUCUGAGAGGAUGAUCAGUCAGAGGGAAACUGAGACACGGUUCCC